GCCAGGCAUGGUGGCUCAUGCCUGUAGUCCCAGCUACUUGGGAGGCUGAGGUGGGAGGAUUGCUUGUGCCCAGGAGUCGGAGGCUGCAGUGAGUCGUGAUCAUGCCACUGCACUCCAGCCUGGGCAACAGAGCGAGACCCUGACCCUA
Non-coding RNA from Homo sapiens (human), 148 nucleotides. It matches the Rfam family "Metazoan signal recognition particle RNA". Rfam says of the family: The signal recognition particle (SRP) is a universally conserved ribonucleoprotein. It is involved in the co-translational targeting of proteins to membranes. The record is from Rfam. NCBI's taxonomy places the organism in Eukaryota, Metazoa, Chordata, Mammalia, Primates, Hominidae.